UUAAGCGACUAAGCGUACACGGUGGAUGCCCUGGCAGUCAGAGGCGAUGAAGGACGUGCUAAUCUGCGAAAAGCGUCGGUAAGGUGAUAUGAACCGUUAUAACCGGCGAUGUCCGAAUGGGGAAACCCAGUGUGAUUCGUCACACUAUCGUUAACUGAAUACAUAGGUUAACGAGGCGAACCGGGGGAACUGAAACAUCUAAGUACCCCGAGGAAAAGAAAUCAACCGAGAUUCCCCCAGUAGCGGCGAGCGAACGGGGAGCAGCCCAGAGUCUGAAUCAGCUUGUGUGUUAGUGGAACGGUCUGGAAAGUCCGACGGUACAGGGUGAUAGUCCCGUACACCAAAAUGCACAGGUUGUGAACUCGAAGAGUAGGGCGGGACACGUGGUAUCCUGUCUGAAUAUGGGGGGACCAUCCUCCAAGGCUAAAUACUCCUGACUGACCGAUAGUGAACCAGUACCGUGAGGGAAAGGCGAAAAGAACCCCGGCGAGGGGAGUGAAAAAGAACCUGAAACCGUGUACGUACAAGCAGUGGGAGCACCUUCGGGUGUGACUGCGUACCUUUUGUAUAAUGGGUCAGCGACUUAUAUUCUGUAGCAAGGUUAACCGUAUAGGGGAGCCGCAGGGAAACCGAGUCUUAACUGGGCGUUAAGUUGCAGGGUAUAGACCCGAAACCCGGUGAUCUAGCCAUGGGCAGGUUGAAGGUUGGGUAACACUAACUGGAGGACCGAACCGACUAAUGUUGAAAAAUUAGCGGAUGACUUGUGGCUGGGGGUGAAAGGCCAAUCAAACCGGGAGAUAGCUGGUUCUCCCCGAAAGCUAUUUAGGUAGCGCCUCGUGAAUUCAUCUUCGGGGGUAGAGCACUGUUUCGGCUAGGGGGUCAUCCCGACUUACCAACCCGAUGCAAACUACGAAUACCGAAGAAUGUUAUCACGGGAGACACACGGCGGGUGCUAACGUCCGUCGUGAAGAGGGAAACAACCCAGACCGCCAGCUAAGGUCCCAAAGUCAUGGUUAAGUGGGAAACGAUGUGGGAAGGCACAGACAGCCAGGAUGUUGGCUUAGAAGCAGCCAUCAUUUAAAGAAAGCGUAAUAGCUCACUGGUCGAGUCGGCCUGCGCGGAAGAUGUAACGGGGCUAAACCAUGCACCGAAGCUGCGGCAGCGACACUAUGUGUUGUUGGGUAGGGGAGCGUUCUGUAAGCCUGCGAAGGUGUGCUGUGAGGCAUGCUGGAGGUAUCAGAAGUGCGAAUGCUGACAUAAGUAACGAUAAAGCGGGUGAAAAGCCCGCUCGCCGGAAGACCAAGGGUUCCUGUCCAACGUUAAUCGGGGCAGGGUGAGUCGACCCCUAAGGCGAGGCCGAAAGGCGUAGUCGAUGGGAAACAGGUUAAUAUUCCUGUACUUGGUGUUACUGCGAAGGGGGGACGGAGAAGGCUAUGUUAGCCGGGCGACGGUUGUCCCGGUUUAAGCAUGUAGGCUGGUUGUCCAGGCAAAUCCGGAUAAUCAAGGCUGAGGUGUGAUGACGAGGCACUACGGUGCUGAAGUAACAAAUGCCCUGCUUCCAGGAAAAGCCUCUAAGCAUCAGGUAACAUCAAAUCGUACCCCAAACCGACACAGGUGGUCAGGUAGAGAAUACCAAGGCGCUUGAGAGAACUCGGGUGAAGGAACUAGGCAAAAUGGUGCCGUAACUUCGGGAGAAGGCACGCUGGUGUGUAGGUGAAGUCCCUGCGGAUGGAGCUGAGACCAGUCGAAGAUACCAGCUGGCUGCAACUGUUUAUUAAAAACACAGCACUGUGCAAACACGAAAGUGGACGUAUACGGUGUGACGCCUGCCCGGUGCCGGAAGGUUAAUUGAUGGGGUUAUCCGUAAGGAGAAGCUCUUGAUCGAAGCCCCGGUAAACGGCGGCCGUAACUAUAACGGUCCUAAGGUAGCGAAAUUCCUUGUCGGGUAAGUUCCGACCUGCACGAAUGGCGUAAUGAUGGCCAGGCUGUCUCCACCCGAGACUCAGUGAAAUUGAACUCGCUGUGAAGAUGCAGUGUACCCGCGGCAAGACGGAAAGACCCCGUGAACCUUUACUAUAGCUUGACACUGAACAUUGAGCCUUGAUGUGUAGGAUAGGUGGGAGGCUUUGAAGCGUGGACGCCAGUCUGCGUGGAGCCAACCUUGAAAUACCACCCUUUAAUGUUUGAUGUUCUAACGUUGGCCCCUUACCGGGGUUGCGGACAGUGUCUGGUGGGUAGUUUGACUGGGGCGGUCUCCUCCCAAAGCGUAACGGAGGAGCACGAAGGUUAGCUAAUCCUGGUCGGACAUCAGGAGGUUAGUGCAAUGGCAUAAGCUAGCUUGACUGCGAGCGUGACGGCGCGAGCAGGUGCGAAAGCAGGUCAUAGUGAUCCGGUGGUUCUGAAUGGAAGGGCCAUCGCUCAACGGAUAAAAGGUACUCCGGGGAUAACAGGCUGAUACCGCCCAAGAGUUCAUAUCGACGGCGGUGUUUGGCACCUCGAUGUCGGCUCAUCACAUCCUGGGGCUGAAGUAGGUCCCAAGGGUAUGGCUGUUCGCCAUUUAAAGUGGUACGCGAGCUGGGUUUAGAACGUCGUGAGACAGUUCGGUCCCUAUCUGCCGUGGGCGCUGGAGAAUUGAGGGGGGCUGCUCCUAGUACGAGAGGACCGGAGUGGACGCAUCACUGGUGUUCGGGUUGUCAUGCCAAUGGCACUGCCCGGUAGCUAAAUGCGGAAGAGAUAAGUGCUGAAAGCAUCUAAGCACGAAACUUGCCCCGAGAUGAGUUCUCCCUGAGACUUUAAGUCUCCUGAAGGAACGUUAAAGACGAUGACGUUGAUAGGCCGGGUGUGUAAGCGCAGCGAUGCGUUGAGCUAACCGGUACUAAUGAACCGUGAGGCUUAACCUU
Molecule: ribosomal RNA, 2900 nt
Filed under: Klebsiella oxytoca
Lineage: Bacteria; Pseudomonadati; Pseudomonadota; Gammaproteobacteria; Enterobacterales; Enterobacteriaceae
Also listed under: 1 other name
Description: bacterial LSU rRNA
Rfam family: Bacterial large subunit ribosomal RNA
Source: RNAcentral